This 254-nucleotide ribosomal RNA is filed under the name uncultured bacterium. RNAcentral's name for it is "partial 16S ribosomal RNA". It matches the Rfam family "Bacterial small subunit ribosomal RNA", at positions 524 to 776 of the family's 1533-position model. The record is from RNAcentral.
UACGUAGGGGGCGAGCGUUGUCCGGAUUCAUUGGGCGUAAAGAGCUCGUAGGCGGCUUGGUUAGUUGGGUGUGAAACCUCCAGGCUUAACCUGGAGACGCCACUCAAUACUGCCAUGGCUAGAGUCCGGUAGGGGACCACGGAAUUCCUGGUGUAGCGGUGAAAUGCGCAGAUAUCAGAAGGAACACCGGUGGCGAAGGCGGUGGUCUGGGCCGGCACUGACGCUGAGGAGCGAAAGCGUGGGGAGCGAACAGG